GACGAACGCUGGCGGCGUGCCUAAUACAUGCAAGUUGAGCGAUGAAGAUUGGUGCUUGCACCAAUUUGAAGAGCAGCGAACGGGUGAGUAACGCGUGGGGAAUCUGCCUUUGAGCGGGGGACAACAUUUGGAAACGAAUGCUAAUACCGCAUAACAACUUUAAACAUAAGUUUUAAGUUUGAAAGAUGCAAUUGCAUCACUCAAAGAUGAUCCCGCGUUGUAUUAGCUAGUUGGUGAGGUAAAGGCUCACCAAGGCGAUGAUACAUAGCCGACCUGAGAGGGUGAUCGGCCACAUUGGGACUGAGACACGGCCCAAACUCCUACGGGAGGCAGCAGUAGGGAAUCUUCGGCAAUGGACGAAAGUCUGACCGAGAAACGCCGCGUGAGUGAAGAAGGGUGUCGGAUCGUAAAACUCUGUUGGUAGAGAAGAACGUUGGUGAGAGUGGAAAGCUCAUCAAGUGACGGUAACUACCCAGAAAGGGACGGCUAACUACGUG
RNAcentral lists this ribosomal RNA (497 nucleotides) under uncultured bacterium. RNAcentral describes it as "partial 16S ribosomal RNA". It matches the Rfam family "Bacterial small subunit ribosomal RNA", at positions 28 to 507 of the family's 1533-position model. The record is from RNAcentral.